CCAAAACGGUCCAGACUCCUCCUCAUCCCUGGAUAUAUUUUGCAGUCGGGGAACCGCAACCAUUCUUCAGGAAGGUUCUAUUCCACCCUCCAAGUUUACUCGCCACAAAUCCAAACCCUAAUCCCAAUCUCUCUAUCUCUCUUACAGAGCAAGAACCAUGUCUCACUUUGGUAGGUCUGGCCCUCCUGACAUCGCUGACACUUACUCUCUCCUGGUCCUCAACAUAACCUUUCGUACGAGCGCUGAUGAUCUGUUUCCGCUUUUCGAUAAGUAUGGCAAAGUUGUCGACAUUUUCAUCCCCAGAGACCGAAGGACUGGCGAGUCUAGGGGUUUUGCAUUUGUGCGAUACAAAUAUGCCGAUGAAGCACAGAAAGCGGUUGAAAGGCUCGAUGGAAAAGUUGUUGAUGGUCGAGAGAUAACUGUUCAGUUUGCAAAAUAUGGGCCAAAUGCGGAGAGGAUUCAGAAAGGAAGGAUUACUGAAGCUCUACCAAAAUCAAGGUACAGGUCAAGAAGUCGCAGUCCUCGGAGAAGGUACCGAGAUGACUACAGAGACCGUGACUACAGGAGGAGAAGUCGCAGUAGGAGUUGGGAUAGGUAUGACCGUGACAGAUACCAUGGGAGGGACAGAGACUAUCGUCGACGAAGCAGGAGCCGCAGUGCCAGCCCUGAUUACUAUAGGAGCAGGAGAAGAGGGCGCUAUGAUGAUGAAAGGCGGAGUCGAAGUCGAAGUAGGAGUCCAAUUCGAAGUCGUUCCAUUGAUAGUGUCUCCCCUGCACGGCAUAGCCCUAGUCCUCGUAAGAGUCCUUCCCCACUAAUCAGGAGUCGCAGUGCCACCCCUGAUAGACGUAGUCAUGAUGGACAUUCCCCUACUGCUCGAAGUGUUUCACCACGCCAUCGUCCUGCUGAUUCUCGUACCCCAUCCCCACGAAAUUCAGAUGUUGAUGAUUGAUGUUUCUGGUUGUAUGGAAAUGAUGGAAGCACCCUGAGUUGUGUACUUCUUGCAGCUCUGCUGAUGUCAGGGAUCUUUGAUCAUAAUGCGUUGUUUUAGUAGGUGUCUUGAGUGCUAGUUUUGUUAUGUUCGUGAAAAGAGUGAUUGAGGCUUGGAUAAGAGGAUGUUGAUUUGUAGCUGUGGGUGCUGUUUCUAAUUUGUAGAUGGAUGGUCGUGAUUGUGGUGCUGGUUGCAGCAGUAUGCUGGUUUUAGAAGUAUGAUUGUUUUGGCAGUGAGAGCUGUUUGCAGGGCCAAUAACUUAAUCUGUUUUUCUCCAUACCGAAUAAAUUUGUCCAUGAAAGGAGUUUUUAGUUGCUGUGGUGGCUGUAAGUGGGUCUUUACCUGUGUGUAGCUCAUGCUGCAUAUGAGAUUGAUGUGUAGUUCGUUAUGAACCAGAAUGGUUUGUAAUUGCUGUGAUGGUAGAAGUUGAACUGGUCUUUAUCGGUAGCUGAUGCUGCACAUAAGUGAUUCAUUAACCCGGAUGCGGAUACCAGGCAUGAACUGUGGAUACUAACUAUGAAACCUUGUAUGCUGGGCUCAACUAUAUGCAGCCACAGUAAUGAGAAAUGAUCUUGUCUCACACAAGUUCGAGGCUCUAGCUGUGAAGUGGCAGCUGAUCUGUAUUUUGUUGUAUCGUAAUAAUUUCUUGGGUGACUGAAGCUCUAGCGAAUAACCACCUGCAGCUUGCAGCUUGCUGUUGCUGCUAUUUUAUGAUGGGGUCGGGUAGGCUAUUACCAUUUGGGGCCUUGACAAUGGCUGAUUGGCGUGCUGAUACCGAAAGAUUUGUUUUGUUGUGUAUGUUAUGACUAUAACAUGGAUUUACGGUCUCCGGUCCUAUGUUUCGAAUUAGUCAUCCCUCCAUUAAAAGUGGCAAAAUAUGUACAUUGACAACGCCUGAUCUGACAAACUAUUUUGCAUUUUCUCAUAUAUAUAUAAUGAUCCUUCAUUAAA
Prunus mume (Japanese apricot) is the source of this 1939-nucleotide non-coding RNA. The record is from RefSeq and is a predicted model, not a curated record. Lineage: Eukaryota; Viridiplantae; Streptophyta; Magnoliopsida; Rosales; Rosaceae.